GAUGAACGCUGGCGGCGUGCCUAAUACAUGCAAGUCGAGCGAACAGACGAGGAUCUUGCUCCUCUGACGUUAGCGGCGGACGGGUGAGUAACACGUGGAUAACCUACCUAUAAGACUGGGAUAACUUCGGGAAACCGGAGCUAAUACCGGAUAAUAUAUUGAACCGCAUGGUUCAAUAGUGAAAGACGGUUUUGCUGUCACUUAUAGAUGGAUCCGCGCCGCAUUAGCUAGUUGGUAAGGUAACGGCUUACCAAGGCAACGAUGCGUAGCCGACCUGAGAGGGUGAUCGGCCACACUGGAACUGAGACACGGUCCAGACUCCUACGGGAGGCAGCAGUAGGGAAUCUUCCGAACUGGGCGAAAGCCUGACGGAGCAACGCCGCGUGAGUGAUGAAGGUCUUCGGAUCGUAAAACUCUGUUAUUAGGGAAGAACAAAUGUGUAAGUAACUAUGCACGUCUUGACGGUACCUAAUCAGAAAGCCACGGCUAACUACGUG
RNAcentral lists this ribosomal RNA (497 nucleotides) under uncultured bacterium. RNAcentral describes it as "partial 16S ribosomal RNA". It matches the Rfam family "Bacterial small subunit ribosomal RNA", at positions 28 to 507 of the family's 1533-position model. The record is from RNAcentral.